CCUACGGGAGGCAGCAGUGGGGAAUAUUGCUCAAUGGGCGAAACCCUGAUGCAGCCACGCCGCGUGAGUGAAGAAGUAUUUCGGUGUGUAAAGCUCUAUCAGCAGGGAAGAAGAUGACGGUACCUGAGUAAGAAUCCCCGGCUAAAUACGUGCCAGCAACCGCUGUAUCACGUAGGGGCAACGCGUUAUCCUGUUUUACUGGGUGUAAAGGGAGCGUAGACGGCAGGACAAGUCUCGAGUGAAAUCCCCGGGCUGAACCCCGGAACUGCUUUUGAAACUGGGCGGCUGGAGUGUGGGAGAGGUAAGCGGAAUGCCUGGUGUAGCGGUGAAAUGCGUAGAUAUUAGGAGGAACACCAGUGGCGAAGGCGGCUUACUGG
RNAcentral lists this ribosomal RNA (377 nucleotides) under uncultured bacterium. RNAcentral's name for it is "partial 16S ribosomal RNA". It matches the Rfam family "Bacterial small subunit ribosomal RNA", at positions 338 to 732 of the family's 1533-position model. The record is from RNAcentral.